AGAGAGAGAGAGAGAGAGAGAGCAAGCACAAGUGGGGCUGUUUCCCCCCUUUCCUUCACUGCCUUUUCCAGGCCCUGGAUGUUGCUUAUGUGUGGAGAAAAGAGUGCUGGGGCUAUAUGGUCCCCAGAGCUCUUGCAUCCCAUCAGAAGUAUGGUAUUGGCGUCCAGCACAGACCUUGAAGCGAUAAUGUGAAUUUGUGACAAAUUUGGAAAAGGAGAAUGAAGUGUUUGGUCCUUUGUAAAUCUAAAGAAAAUUGAGACAAAGUGAAAAUUAUAUUGUUUUGCCAUAAUAUGGUAUAGUUUUUGACAAGAAAGAUAUGAAUUAACCCAUUCAUCUCAUAAAUAUGUUCACAGCAAAAAUAAAAUAAAAUUACUCUUA
Molecule: long non-coding RNA, 378 nt
Organism: Leopardus geoffroyi (Geoffroy's cat)
Lineage: Eukaryota; Metazoa; Chordata; Mammalia; Carnivora; Felidae
Exons: 2
Source: RefSeq, a predicted model, not a curated record